This 211-nucleotide unclassified non-coding RNA is filed under the name plant metagenome. RNAcentral's name for it is "partial contains small subunit ribosomal RNA, internal transcribed spacer 1, and 5.8S ribosomal RNA". The record is from RNAcentral.
UUUCCGUAGGUGAACCUGCGGAAGGAUCAUUCAUAAUAAAGUGUUUUAUGGCACUUUUUAAAAAUCCAUAUCCACCUUGUGUGCAAUGUUAGAUCUCGUCAAUCUUGGCGAGGUUUUUAUACAUCAACUCAUUCUUUAACUAAUUUGUCUGAAAAAUAUUAUGAAUACUUAUUUCAAAAUACAACUUUCAACAACGGAUCUCUUGGCUCUC